Molecule: ribosomal RNA, 2082 nt
Filed under: Triticum aestivum (bread wheat)
Lineage: Eukaryota; Viridiplantae; Streptophyta; Magnoliopsida; Poales; Poaceae
Description: partial small subunit ribosomal RNA
Source: RNAcentral
AUGCCGAUCGCGCUGGCCGCGUUAAUUUCGGUCCUCCUCCUCCUCACUCGGGACGCCGCCUGCGCCGACGAGUUCGUGUACGCCGGCUUCGCCGUAGGCAGCGUGGCGACCACCGGCGCGGCCGCCGUGCUCGCUCCCUCCGGCCUCCUGCGGCUCACCAACGACACCAAGGAGGCGUUCGGCCACGGCUUCCACCCGGCGCCCCUCCGUUUCCGGGACGUCGCCACCGGCGCGCCCAUCUCCUUCUCCACCUCCUUCGUGGUCGCCAUCGCGCCGCGGUACCCGGACGCGCACGGCCACGGCAUCGCCUUCGCGCUCGCGCCGUCGAUUGCUGUCCCUGGCGCCGUCGCCGGCAAGUACCUCGGCCUGUUCAACACGUCGGACAGCCUGGGCAACGGCACGAGCCUGAUCGUCGCCGUCGAGCUGGAUACCGCCAUGGACGCGGAGUUCGACGACGCCGACGAAAACCACGUCGGCAUCGACGUCAACGGCCUCCGCUCUGUUAACUCGACCCCGGCCGGGUACUGGCAAGACGACGGCUUCGGUGGAACGAAGUUCGACAACAUCAGCCUGACUGGCGGUGGCGACGCGCCUCUGCAGGUGUGGAUCGAGUACGACGGCGCCAGCGCGCGCCUCGAGGUGACGGUGUCCCCGGCGGGCGCGCCCAGACCGGCCGUUCCGCUCGUGUCAUGCCACGUCAACCUCUCCAGGGCCGUGGCCGACGACACCUAUGUCGGCUUCUCGGCGGCCAACGGCGCCGCUGCGAGCUCGCACUACGUCCUCGGCUGGAGCUUUCGCCUCGGCGGCGGCCGCGCGCAGGACCUCGACCUCUCCAAGCUCCCGCGGCUCCCGUCGUCGGGAUCAUCAUCAUCAAAGAGAACGAUGCCGCCGCUGCUACUGCCGAUGACGCUGCUCGUCCUGGUGGUCGUGAUCCUGCUCCUGGCCUCCGCGGCCGUCGCGGCACUCGUGGUGCGGCGGCGCCGGCAGUUCGCCGAGGAGGAAGAAGACUGGGAAGUAGAGUACGGCCCUCAUAGGAUCAGAUACAAGGACCUGCAUGGCGCCACAAAUGGUUUCCGCGACCUCAUCGGCGCCGGAGGCUUCGGCCGCGUGUACCACGGCGUGCUCCCGAGGUCCGGCGCCGAGGUUGCCGUCAAGGUGAUCUCGCACGGGUCGCGGCAGGGGCUGCAGGAGUUCGUGUCGGAGAUCGUGAGCAUGAGCCGGCUGCGCCACCGUAACCUGGUGCAACUCCUCCACUACUGCCGGCGGCGCGGGGAGCUGUUGCUCGUCUACGACUACAUGCCGAACGGCAGCCUGGACCAACACCUGUUCGGCCAUCCAUCGUCGGAGCUGAGCUGGGAGCACCGGGCCAAGAUCGUCCGGGGCGUCGCGGCCGGGCUGCUGUACCUGCACGAGGGGUGGGAGCAGGUGGUGGUACACCGGGACAUCAAGUCCGGCAACGUGCUCCUCGACGCCGACAUGAACGGCAAGCUCAGCGACUUCGGCCUCGCGCGGCUCUACGACCACGGCGGCGACCCGCAGACGACGCGCGUGGUGGGCACGCUCGGGUACAUCGCGCCGGAGAUGAGCAAGACCGGCAAGGCCACCACGAGCUCCGACGUCUUCGCCUUCGGCGCCUUCCUGCUCGAGGUGGCGUGCGGUCGGAGGCCUGUGGUAUUCAGCAACAAUGAUUCCGAAGACUCGCCGCCGUCGCCGGGGCUCGUGGAGCUCGUCCUGGGGCACUGGAAGGCCGGGAAGAUCACGGAGGCGAGGGACCCGAGGAUGGGCAAGUGCGACGAGGACGAUCUCGAGCUGGUCCUCAAGCUCGGGCUGCUCUGCUCGCACCCGGACCCGUUACGACGGCCGGGCAUGAGGCAGGUGGUGCAGAUCCUGGAAGGCGCGGCACCGGCGCCGGAGACAUCGCCAGAGGAUCUUGGAGACAGCAUGACGCUGUUCGAGCACAGCGAGGCAUUCGACAGGUUCGUCGGAGUGUCGUUCCCGUCGACGUCAGGGUUCACCACCGCCACGAUGCGGACGUCGACGUCAAACUCCCCUGACGAGAAACGGCAGCUCCUGUUCAGCUGA